Chlorocebus sabaeus (green monkey) is the source of this 1469-nucleotide non-coding RNA. Lineage: Eukaryota; Metazoa; Chordata; Mammalia; Primates; Cercopithecidae. The record is from RefSeq and is a predicted model, not a curated record.
GAGCGAAAAGAAAUCAAACAUGGAAAUUUCUGAAGAAAGAAGUCAGCGAGGCUGCAUCGAAAAACUCCAAAGGCAGAUCACCCAGGAAUGUGAGUUGAAUUUAGAGCAGUAAUUCUGAGGACAGAUUGUUGAAGCACUGGGUAAACUUCAAAGGAUGCAGUGAGACAUCUGUCCCAAGAGAGGUAUCAGGGAAAUGCAUAUUAUCCCCAAGAAAGCCAUUGUGGGAGAGAUUGGCCAUGGAUGUAAUGAAGGAGAAAAAAUACUUUCUGCAGGAGAAAGCUCCCAUAGAUAUGAGGUUAGUGGCCAAAACUUCAAACAUAAGUCAGGAUUAACUGAACAUCAGAAAAUUCAUAAUAUAAAUAAGACCUAUGAAUGUAAGGAAUGUGGAAAAACCUUCAACAGGAGUUCAAACCUGAUCAUACAUCAGAGAAUUCAUCCUGGAAAUAAACCAUAUGUGUGUAAUGAAUCUGGGAAAGACUCUAAUCAAAGUUCAAAUCUUAUACAUCAGAGAAUUAAUACAGGAAAGAAACCUUAUAUGUGUCAUGAAUGUGGAAAAGACUUCAAUCAGAGCUCUAAUCUGGUGAGACAUAAGCAAAUUCACAGGCGGGAAUCCCUGUAGUGCAAGAGUGUGGGAAGGCUUUUAAGGGAAGCUCAAACCUACACCCAGAGAAUCCACAGUGUGGGGAAGCCAUAUUUAUGCAAUAAAGUAGUGGGAAGGCCUUCAGUCAAAGUUCACACCUUGUCCACACAUCAGAGAAUUCACACUGAAAGAAACCCCUCAAGUGUAAUGAAUGUAGAAAAAGCCUUCAGGCAAGCAUUCUCACCUUACUGAACACAGAGACUCCACAAAAGUUGAAGGAGAGAAACCCUAUGAAUGUCACAAACGUGGGAAGACCGUCAGUGGGCACACAACUUUCCUCAAACAUCAGAGACUGCAUGCUGGAGAGAAAGUUGAAGAAUGUGAGAAAACCUUCAGCAAGGAUGAGGAGCUUACAGAAGAGCAGAGACUUCACGAGGAAGAAAAAGCUUAUUGGUGUAAGCAGUGUGGUAGGAAUUUCCAGGGCAGCUCAGACCUCAUCAGACAUCAGGUAACCCAUACAAGAGAGAAACCGUAUGAAUGUAAAGAAUGUGGGAAAACUUUCAAUCAGAGGUCAAACCUUGUGAGACAUCACAGAAUUCACAGUGGAGAAAAACCUUACAUAUGCACCAAAUGUGGGAAAUCUUUUAGGAGUAGCUCAGAUCUUAUUACACACCAUCGUGUUCAUACUGGCGAGAAACCUCAUAAAUGUAGUGAAUGUGGGAAAUCCUUCAGCCGGAGAUCACACCUUGUUACACACCAGAAAAUCCAUACUGGAGAGCAGCCCUAUCAGUGCACUGAAUGUAGGAAAGCUUUCAGGCUGAGUUCCCUCCUUAUUCAACAUCGGCGAAUUCACAGUGGUGAGAAGCCCUAUGAAUGUAGUGAAUGUGGG